Molecule: ribosomal RNA, 791 nt
Filed under: Geopyxis carbonaria
Lineage: Eukaryota; Fungi; Ascomycota; Pezizomycetes; Pezizales; Tarzettaceae
Description: eukaryotic LSU rRNA
Rfam family: Eukaryotic large subunit ribosomal RNA
Source: RNAcentral
CAACAGGGAUUGCCUUAGUAACUGCGAGUGAAGCGGCAAAAGCUCAAAUUUGAAAUCUGGGGCCUCACAGCCUCCGAAUUGUAAUUUCACGAUACGUUUUCGACUGAAGGCUCUGCUUUAAGUUCCUUGGAACAGGACGUCACAGAGGGUGAGAAUCCCGUGAUAGGUGGAGCCUGAUGCAUAUGAUACGUAUUCAACGAGUCGAGUUGUUUGGGAAUGCAGCUCAAAAUGGGAGGUAAAUUUCUUCUAAAGCUAAAUAUUGGCGAGAGACCGAUAGCGCACAAGUAGAGUGAUCGAAAGAUGAAAAGCACUUUGAAAAGAGAGUUAAAAAGUACGUGAAAUUGUUGAAAGGGAAGCGCUUGAGACCAGACUCAAUCUGUAGUGAUCAAUUUGGCUUCUGUCAGAUGCACUUGCUACUUAUUGGGACAGCAUCGGUUUUGGCGGUGGGAUAAAGUCUUGAGGAAUGUAGCUAUCUUCGGGUAGUGUUAUAGCCUCUUGAGUAAUGCCACCAGCUGGGACCGAGGACCGCGCCGCAAGGCUAGGAUGCUGUCAUAAUGGUCUUCAGCGACCCGUCUUGAAACACGGACCAAGGAGUCUAACAUCUAUGCGAGUGUUCGGGUGGAAAACCCUUGCGCGUAAUGAAAGUGAACGGAGGUGGGAACCUUAGGGUGCACCAUCGACCGAUCCUGAUGUCUUCGGAAGGAUUUGAGUAUGAGCAUAGCUGUUGGGACCCGAAAGAUGGUGAACUAUGCCUGAAUAGGGUGAAGCCAGAGGAAACUCUGGUGGAGGCU